Molecule: non-coding RNA, 258 nt
Organism: Pelobates cultripes (western spadefoot toad)
Lineage: Eukaryota; Metazoa; Chordata; Amphibia; Anura; Pelobatidae
Source: the annotation of a GenBank genome assembly
CGUGAGAUUAGACGAGAUGUUCCGACUACCAAAGCAGGCAAGCGCUCCAGCAGCCGCACCUACAGACCUCAUACUGCGCUUCCAAUCCCUGUCGGACAAAGCUGCUGUCCUAGCUGCACUACGAAACAAGACACCUUUGCCGUUUGAGGGCACAACUCUAACAAUCUUCCCAGAUAUUACCAAGAGUACCCUUACCUGGAGGAAAUCAAUGCAACCUCUCCUGCAACACCUCCAAGCCAAAGAGAUGCCCUACCGAUG